This 1306-nucleotide ribosomal RNA is filed under the name uncultured bacterium. RNAcentral's name for it is "bacterial SSU rRNA". It matches the Rfam family "Bacterial small subunit ribosomal RNA", at positions 28 to 1381 of the family's 1533-position model. The record is from RNAcentral.
AACGUACGCUGGCGGCACGCCUAACACAUGCAAGUCGAACGAAGUAGCAAUACUUAGUGGCAGACGGGUGAGUAACAUGUAGGUAUCUGCCCUUUGGCCUGGAAUAACACGAGGAAACUUGUGCUAAUACCGGAUAAGUCUUUACGGAGAAAGCUUUAUGCACCAUUGGAUGAGCCUGCACUUGAUUAGUUUGUUGGUGGGGUAAUGGCCUACCAAGACUGUGAUCAAUAGCUGAUUUGAGAGGAUGAUCAGCCACAUUGGGACUGAGACACGGCCCAAACUCCUACGGGAGGCAGCAGUGGGGAAUCUUGCACAAUGGAGGAAACUCUGAUGCAGCGAUGCCGCGUGAGUGAAGAAGGCCCUUGGGUUGUAAAGCUCUUUCGUCGGGGAAGAAAAUGACUGUACCCGAAUAAGAAGGUCCGGCUAACUUCGUGCCAGCAGCCGCGGUAAUACGAAGGGACCUAGCGUAGUUCGGAAUUACUGGGCUUAAAGAGUUCGUAGGUGGUUGAAAAAGUUAGUGGUGAAAUCCCAGAGCUUAACUCUGGAACUGCCAUUAAAACUUUUCAGCUAGAGUAUGAUAGAGGAAAGCAGAAUUUCUAGUGUAGAGGUGAAAUUCGUAGAUAUUAGAAAGAAUACCAAUUGCGAAGGCAGCUUUCUGGAUCAUUACUGACACUGAGGAACGAAAGCAUGGGUAGCGAAGAGGAUUAGAUACCCUCGUAGUCCAUGCCGUAAACGAUGUGUGUUAGACGUUGGAAAUUUAUUUUCAGUGUCGCAGGGAAACCGAUAAACACACCGCCUGGGGAGUACGACCGCAAGGUUAAAACUCAAAUGAAUUGACGGGGACCCGCACAAGUAGUGGAGCAUGUGGUUUAAUUCGAAGAUACGCGCAGAACCUUACCAACACUUGACAUGUUCGUCGCGACUCUAAGAGAUUAGAGUUUUCGGUUCGGCCGGACGAAACACAGGUGCUGCAUGGCUGUCGUCAGCUCGUGUCGUGAGAUGUUGGGUUAAGUCCCGCAACGAGCGCAACCCUCACUUUUAGUUGCCAUCAUUUAGUUGGGCACUCUGAAAGAACUGCCAGUGAUAAGCUGGAGGAAGGUGGGGAUGACGUCAAGUCCUCAUGGCCCUUACGUGUUGGGCUACACACGUGCUACAAUGGUAUCUACAACAGGAAGCAAGACUGCGAAGUUAAGCAAAUCCCUAAAAGAUACCUCAGUUCGGAUUGCACUCUGCAACUCGAGUGCAUGAAGCUGGAAUUACUAGUAAUCGUGGAUCAGCGUGCCACGGUGAAUGCGUUCCCGGGUCU